RNAcentral lists this ribosomal RNA (500 nucleotides) under uncultured bacterium. RNAcentral's name for it is "partial 16S ribosomal RNA". It matches the Rfam family "Bacterial small subunit ribosomal RNA", at positions 29 to 523 of the family's 1533-position model. The record is from RNAcentral.
AUUGAACGCUGGCGGCAUGCCUUACACAUGCAAGUCGAACGGCAGCGCGGACUUCGGUCUGGCGGCGAGUGGCGAACGGGUGAGUAAUACAUCGGAACGUACCCUGUUGUGGGGGAUAACUAGUCGAAAGAUUAGCUAAUACCGCAUAAGACCUGAGGGUGAAAGUGGGGGGCCGCAAGGCCUGACGCCGCAGGAGCGGCCGAUGUCUGAUUAGCUAGCUGGUGGGGGAAAAGCCCACCAAGGCGACGGUCAGUAGCUGGGCUGAGAGGACGAUCAGCCACACGGGGACUGAGACUCGGCCCAGACUCGUACGCGCGGCAGCAGUGGAGAAUUUUGGACAAUGGGGGCAACCCUGAUACAGCAAUGCCGCGUGUGUGAAGAAGGCCUUCGGGUUGGAAAGCACUUUUGCCCGGAAAGAAAUCGCGCUGGUUAAUACCUGCCGUGGAUGACGGUACCGGAAGAACAAUCACCGGCUAACUACGUGCCAGCCGCCGCCGUAA